UAGGGAAUCUUCGGCAAUGGACGAAAGUCUGACCGAGCAGCGCCGCGUGAGUGAAGAAGGUUUUCGGAUCGUAAAACUCUGUUGUUAGAGAAGAACAAGGACGUUAGUAACUGAACGUCCCCUGACGGUAUCUAACCAGAAAGCCACGGCUAACUACGUGCCAGCAGCCGCGGUAAUACGUAGGUGGCAAGCGUUGUCCGGAUUUAUUGGGCGUAAAGCGAGCGCAGGCGGUUUCUUAAGUCUGAUGUGAAAGCCCCCGGCUCAACCGGGGAGGGUCAUUGGAAACUGGGAGACUUGAGUGCAGAAGAGGAGAGUGGAAUUCCAUGUGUAGCGGUGAAAUGCGUAGAUAUAUGGAGGAACACCAGUGGCGAAGGCGGCUCUCUGGUCUGUAACUGACGCUGAGGCUCGAAAGCGUGGGGAGCAAACAGG
RNAcentral lists this ribosomal RNA (429 nucleotides) under Gemmatimonadota bacterium. RNAcentral's name for it is "Gemmatimonadetes bacterium partial 16S ribosomal RNA". It matches the Rfam family "Bacterial small subunit ribosomal RNA", at positions 355 to 776 of the family's 1533-position model. Lineage: Bacteria; Pseudomonadati; Gemmatimonadota. The record is from RNAcentral.